Molecule: long non-coding RNA, 1154 nt
Filed under: Vitis vinifera (wine grape)
Lineage: Eukaryota; Viridiplantae; Streptophyta; Magnoliopsida; Vitales; Vitaceae
Description: long non-coding RNA (VVIN_LNC004602)
Source: RNAcentral
UUUUGAUGGAAAGUUACAACUCUAAAUAUCAAUUUUUGGUCCCGAACUCAUCUCUCUAUUGUUCUCUUCUACAAAGUCUCACGAGAGAAAUUAGAGUUUGGAAGAAUCAAAGACUUGCAGCAAUUACUGAGUACAAAAUUCAAACACCAAUGGUUUGAGGUAAAUAGUUGAUCCUAAACCUUUUUCAGUUUUGAUUCGUAUGGCAAUGUUUUCAUACACUUUUGGAUUGUAUGUAUUCUUACAUUUGACAUCAAAGCCCAUGGAUCUUGCCCCUACCUUGGAAUUAAUUUUUGCACCAGAAAAUUUGUUAGUGGUCUUUUCUUUUGAAAAAUGAAACUGGUGAUGUGGUUAUGAGAUACAUUCAUGCAGCAUGAAAGAUUUUUUUUUUUUAUCUCUCAAAAUCACUACUUAAAAAUAAAAUAAAACACCCUUGCUUGCUGUCGUGCUCUGAGCGCGAGUUUGUAACUCAAGCGAGGGCAUCAGUGUGGUUGGAGAUUGGUCUGGCUGGACUGGUAGGACACUGCAUAUCUGCCUCCAUUUUUCAUAUUCAUCUUCUAAUUAAUCAUCACACACCUAGAGUUCGCUAGCCCACACUAGCGAUCCCAGUAGAGUCCUAACCCCCUUCCAGCAUCUGGGUCAUCUUGUCUCAUGUUAGCAGGCUGCAAGAGAUGAUGGUCAUCGGAUGAAUGAUGGGUAAUGAGUGAUGGGAGAUGGGUGACGGUGUUUGUUAGUCCAAGUGGGAGCUGAGCGUUGAGAUCCGGGCGAGAAGGCCUGGAUGUCUAAGUUCCAAGAGCGGGGAGGGAACCAUGUGAGGCUGGUUUCACAAUGCACCACAUGAGGUUGCUUUUACAGUGCUCCAUCUCCUCUCGCUCCCGUCGGUGGAAGAUUAAUUAGUUGGCCUACCCGUGUGAUGCAGACGGCUUCAAGGCUUGGAAUGGUGCCAGUGAAGGAAGGCUAUUGCGCUGAGUUUUGGUGUGGUGCUAUCGGUGAAGGAAGGUUGUCAUGCUGAGUUUUGGUGUGGUGCUGCCGGUGAAGGAAGGCUGCCACGCUGAGUUUUGGUGUGGUGUUGCCAGUGAAGGAAGGUUGUCGUGUUAAGUUUUGGUGCGGUGCUAUCGGUGAAGAAAGGCGUCGUGCUAAGUUUCGAGUGUCCUUUC